CCUACGGGAGGCAGCAGUGAGGAAUAUUGGUCAAUGGACGAGAGUCUGAACCAGCCAAGUAGCGUGAAGGAUGACUGCCCUAUGUGUUGUAAACUUCUUUUAUAAAGGAAUAAAACGAGGCACGUGUGCCUUUUUGCAUGUACUUUAUGAAUAAGGAUCGGCUAACUCCGUGCCAGCAGCCGCGGUAAUACGGAGGAUCCGAGCGUUAUCCGGAUUUAUUGGGUUUAAAGGGAGCGUAGAUGGGUUGUUAAGUCAGUUGUGAAAGUUUGCGGCUCAACCGUAAAAUUGCAAUUGAUACUGGCAGUCGUGAGUACAGUUGAGGUAGGCGGAAUUCGUGGUGUAGCGGUGAAAUGCUUAGAUAUCACGAAGAACCCCGAUUGUGAAGGCAGCUUACUAAACUGUGACUGACAUUGAUGCUCGAAAGUGUGGGUAUCAAACAGGAUUAGAUACCCCAGUAGUC
Molecule: ribosomal RNA, 460 nt
Filed under: uncultured bacterium
Lineage: Bacteria
Description: partial 16S ribosomal RNA
Rfam family: Bacterial small subunit ribosomal RNA
Source: RNAcentral